RNAcentral lists this ribosomal RNA (1600 nucleotides) under Candidatus Ecksteinia adelgidicola. RNAcentral's name for it is "bacterial LSU rRNA". It matches the Rfam family "Bacterial large subunit ribosomal RNA", at positions 357 to 1932 of the family's 2925-position model. Lineage: Bacteria; Pseudomonadati; Pseudomonadota; Gammaproteobacteria. The record is from RNAcentral.
AAAAAGGGUGAUAGUCCCGUACAUAAAAACAUGUUUUUCUGUGAGUUCAAAGAGUAGGACGGGACACGUGAAAUCCUGUCUGAAUAUGGGGGGCCCAUCCUCCAAGGCUAAAUACUACUGAUUGACCGAUAGUGAACUAGUACCGUGAGGGAAAGGCGAAAAGAACCCCGGUGAGGGGAGUGAAAAAGAACCUGAAACCAUGUACGUACAAGCAGUAGGAGCCUAUGAACUUAUAGGUGACUGCGUACCUUUUGUAUAAUGGGUCAGCGACUUAUAUUUUGUAGCAAGGUUAACCAUAUAGGGGAGCCGUAGGGAAACCGAGUCUUAACUGGGCGCAUAGUUGCAAGGUAUAGACCCGAAACCCGGUGAUCUAGCCAUGGGCAGGUUGAAGGUUGGGUAACACUAACUGAAGGACCGAACCGACUAAUGUUGAAAAAUUAGCGGAUGACCUGUGGCUAGGGGUGAAAGGCCAAUCAAACCGGGAGAUAGCUGGUUCUCCUCGAAAGCUAUUUAGGUAGCGCCUUAUGAAUUCAUCUUCGGGGGUAGAGCUCUGUUUCGGCUAAGGGGCUAUCCCAGCUUACUAAUCCGAUGCAAACUACGAAUACCGAAGAAUGUUAUCAUAGGAGACACACGGCGGGUGCUAACGUCCGUCGUGUAAAGGGAAACAACCCAGACCGUCUGCUAAGGUCCCAAAGUCAUGGUUAAGUGGAAAACGAUGUGGGAAAGCAUAGACAGCCAGGAUGUUGGCUUAGAAGCAGCCAUCAUUAAAAGAAAGCGUAAUAGCUCACUGGUCAAGUUGGCCUGCGCGGAAGAUGUAACGGGGCUAAACCAUGCACCGAAGCUACGGCAGCAAUGUGAAAUAUGCAUUGCUGGGUAGGGGAGCGUUCUGUAAGCCGUUGAAGGUGACUCGUGAGGAUUGCUGAAGGUAUCAGAAGUGCGAAUGCUGACAUAAGUAACGAUAAAGCAGGUGAAAAACCUGCUCGCCAAAAAACCAAGGGUUCCUGUCCAACGUUAAUCGGGGCAGGGUAAGUCGACCCCUAAGGUGAGGCUGAAAAGCGUAGUCGAUGGGCAACAGGUUAAUAUUCCUGUACUAAACGUAAUUGCGAAGGGGGGACGAAGAAAGCUAGACUAUCCGGGGGACGGUUGUCUCGGUUUAAGUGUGUAGAAGGGUAUUUUUGGCAAAUCCGGAAUACUGUUAACUUCAAGGCAUGAUGACGAUGCAUUAAAAUGCAGAAGUAGUUAAUGCUAUACUUCCAAGAAAAGCCUCUAAGCAUCAGAUUACUUUUAAUCGUACCCCAAACCAACACAGGUGGUUAGGUAGAGAAUACCAAGGCGCUUGAGAGAACUCGGGUGAAGGAACUAGGCAAAAUGGUGCCGUAACUUCGGGAGAAGGCACGCUGGUAUGUAGGUAAAAUUCCUUGCGGAUAGAGCUGAAACCAGCCGAAGAGACCAGCUGGCUGCAACUGUUUAAUAAAAACACAGCACUGUGCUAACACGAAAGUGGAUGUAUACGGUGUGACGCCUGCCCGGUGCUGGAAGGUUAAUUGAUGGGGUUAGCUGUAAAAAGCAAAGCUCUUGAUCGAAGCCCCAGUAAACGGCG